CUACGGGGGGCUGCAGUGGGGAAUAUUGCACAAUGGAGGAAACUCUGAUGCAGCAACGCCGCGUGGAGGAUGACGCAUUUCGGUGUGUAAACUCCUUUUAUAUAAGAAGAACAUGACGGUAUUAUAUGAAUAGGCACCGGCUAACUCCGUGCCAGCAGCCGCGGUAAUACGGAGGGUGCAAGCGUUACUCGGAAUCACUGGGCGUAAAGGACGCGUAGGCUGGAAAGUAAGUCAGGGGUGAAAUCCAAUAGCUCAACUAUUGAAUUGCUCUUGAAACUACUUGCCUAGAGUGUGGGAGAGGUAGAUGGAAUUGGUGGUGUAGGGGUAAAAUCCGUAGAGAUCACUAGGAAUACUCAUUGCGAAGGCGAUCUACUGGAACAUUACUGACGCUAAGGCGUGAAAGCGUGGGGAGCAAACAGGAUUAGAUACCCUAGUAGUC
RNAcentral lists this ribosomal RNA (439 nucleotides) under uncultured bacterium. RNAcentral's name for it is "partial 16S ribosomal RNA". It matches the Rfam family "Bacterial small subunit ribosomal RNA", at positions 339 to 795 of the family's 1533-position model. The record is from RNAcentral.